RNAcentral lists this ribosomal RNA (490 nucleotides) under uncultured bacterium. Its description in RNAcentral is "partial 16S ribosomal RNA". It matches the Rfam family "Bacterial small subunit ribosomal RNA", at positions 30 to 507 of the family's 1533-position model. The record is from RNAcentral.
AUUGAACGCUGGCGGCAGGCCUAACACAUGCAAGUCGAACGGUAACAGGAAGAAGCUUGCUUCUUUGCUUACGCGUGGCGGACGGGUGAGUAAUGUCUGGGAAACUGCCUGAUGGAGGGGGAUAACUACUGGAAACGGUAGCUAAUACCGCAUAACGUCUCAAGACCAAAGAGGGGGACCUUCGGGCCUCUUGCCUUCGGAUGUGCCCAGAUGGGAUUAGCUAGUAGGUGGGGUAACGGCUCACCUAGGCGACGAUCCCUAGCUGGUCUGAGAGGAUGAUCAGCCACACUGGAACUGAGACACGGUCCAGACUCCUACGGGAGGCAGCAGUGGGGAAUAUUGCACAAUGGGCGCAAGCCUGAUGCAGCCAUGCCGCGUGUAUGAAGAAGGCCUUCGGGUUGUAAAGUACUUUCAGCGGGGAGGAAGGGAGUAAAGUUAAUACCCUUGCUCAUUGACGUUACCCGCAGAAGAAGCACCGGCUAACUACGUG